UUCCGGACAGGUAAAAGGGGGGGCAUGGUUGUCGUCGGCUCGGGCCGGGAGAUGUUGGGUUAAUUCCCGCAACGAGCGCAACCCCUAUUGUUAUUUGCCAGCAUUAAGUUGGGCACUCUAAUGAGACUGCCGGGGACAACUCGGAGGAAGGGGGGGAGGACGUCAAAUCAUCAUGCCCCUUAUGUUCUGGGGUACACACGUGCUACAAUGGGUAGAACAACGGGAGGCAAGCUAGUGAUAGGAAGCAAACCCCUAAAAAAUACCCUCAGUUCAGAUUGUAGGCUGAAACUCCCCUACAUGAAGUCGGAGUUGCUAGUAAUCGCGAAUCAGCAUGUCGCGGUGAAUA
This 346-nucleotide ribosomal RNA is filed under the name uncultured bacterium. RNAcentral describes it as "partial 16S rRNA". It matches the Rfam family "Bacterial small subunit ribosomal RNA", at positions 1021 to 1368 of the family's 1533-position model. The record is from RNAcentral.